UUUCUUUACCAAUUGCCCAAAUAUAUGAAGUGACAAAAAAAAAAUCCAAGACACAAAAAUGGAAAUUGAGAUCUAUUCCUAAUCCCUCCGCCGUCGAAGAAGCAUUUGGCGCAACUCUCCUUCAAACUCUCGUUGCCGUCGAAGAACAACUCUCCUUCAAUCUCUUGUCGCGCAUCUCUCCUCUCCGUUGCCGUUGAAAAAAACUAAACAGAAACCCUAAAAUUGUGCCUCUCUUCCUUCUCACUCCCAGACCUUCACGAUGCCUCUCUUCCUUCUCCCAGCGACUCAAUCUUCUUCUUCUUCUCUGAAACCACCUACCGCCACCCACCGUCGAGCACCACCCGCCAUAAAGAGAUGUCGUGAAGUGAUGUGACGGAGACCGAAUUUAAUGUGGUAGCACUAGGUUCAUAGGUCUUUGGUUCUGGGACUCUGUUCCCCUCUUUCUCCGUUUCAACUCUUUUCGGAUAUUUUUCACAGGUCAGAUUCGUGGUAGGCUCUUGUUUCAAAAUUAGAAAUUAGGUUUGGUAGUUAUAUGUUUCUGAAUCUGAUUUUAAGGAAUAGGGUUCCAAAGUGACAGUUUUUAUAUUUACUUGUUAGUAGGGAUCUUAAAAAUUAUUGAAUUUGAAAUGGGGAAGUUGAGAAAUUAAUGUUUUGCAUGAUUCUAAAUAUCUGGGUUUAGACUCAGCUAUUUCUAGAUUUUUUUUUUUGCCUAAUCAAUUGAUUCAAUUUGCAUUCUAGUAUUUAUUUAAAGAGCAAAUAAAACAUGAGAGGAUAGUAUUUAUUUUUUGUUAAUUGGAUGCUAGCUGAUGUGAACUAUUUUGUUAGUUGAUGUGAACUUUGAAUCUAAUGUUUAUAUUAUGAUUAUGAUAUUGUUUGAUCGUGUUUCAAGUUUUCACCAUGUUGAGGUUUAAUUUGAUGCAUAUGUUCUCAUUUGAUUUAGAUUGUCUUCAAAGAAAGAAUUAAAUAAAUGCUAUAAAAUCCAUUGGAUAUCUUCUCAUUGUACUUCUAGCUUAACAAUUUAUGCCUUUCCUAUAUAUCAUCUCCUUUUCUUUAUCCUUUUCUGAUUGAUAUUUGAAAUCCUUUUUAGUCCUAGCUUCCUUGUCAUAAUUUGAGGGAGUUAAUCAGGGUUGGUCCUAUUUGUUCAAAUGUUUAUCUAUAAUUCAAAGCAAAACAACAACGCCUUUCCAGAAUGUUGGUUUUAGGUGCAGACGGAAUCCUGGUGUUUUUAAAGUCAUUAUUUCAAAACAACAAUGCCUAUUAUGAUUACUCCUACAACCUUGCAGAAGUUGGCUUACCCUGAAGAAGAAUAUGCCACUGCUAGAGCAGCAUCAACAGCUGACGCCAUCAUGGUUUGAUUUGCAUCAAAUAUCUUGUGUGACCUCAUCUCUCUCGCUUUCCGUCUUUUCUAAUGAACACACAUGUUGUAUUCAGUGUUCAGCUCAUUUGUGAUCUCUAUGGAAGGAAAUGCUUCAGAAACACUUUACAAGUUGUUACUGAUGAUAUGAAAGUGCAACUUGUAAAAGGGAUGCUUCGUAAGUUAUCCAGACAUGUAGUAAUCAACACUAUGCAAACGCCGUCGUCACGAGAGAAUUUAUGUUUGCCACAAUUUUGUCUUACAAAUUAUGUUUGGUUUUGAUAGUUUUAUGGUGUAGACUUUACUUUCGAUUUGUUAGACAUAUACUUGGUUUUUUUUUCUUAGUGUUGUUGUAUGACAUAAUGGUUGUCACUUUUAAGAUUCUCAAAAUUCAGUUUCACACUACGUUUAAUUUGUUUGUGGGUUGAGAUAUUGUGUUUGUCACUUUGUAUAUAUAUGACUAUGACUAUUGUUUUAUGGAUCUUUGUGGUGGGAGAGAAUUUUACUAAA
Long non-coding RNA from Trifolium pratense (red clover), 1864 nucleotides. RefSeq lists it as uncharacterized. The transcript is spliced from 5 exons. Lineage: Eukaryota; Viridiplantae; Streptophyta; Magnoliopsida; Fabales; Fabaceae. The record is from RefSeq and is a predicted model, not a curated record.